Molecule: long non-coding RNA, 1592 nt
Organism: Pezoporus occidentalis (night parrot)
Lineage: Eukaryota; Metazoa; Chordata; Aves; Psittaciformes; Psittacidae
Exons: 3
Source: RefSeq, a predicted model, not a curated record
AACCCAAAUCAUCUUCAGUGAUAAGUAAUGCAACUAAGUUCAAGCACUUCUCAAAGUGUUCUCCUAAGGUGCUUGUCUGAGCUCAAGCUAUGCUGCAUUUACAAGACCAUUUAGGCCUGAAGCUCACUUGAGACUUCAUCCACAAGGUGCAAGCUGUUGUUGCAUCUCAAACUGAUUCCCAGGGAACAACCAAACACUAUAUAAAGCUACCAAAGUCAGAGCUAAUGGAACUGGCCUGGGAUUAAACUUGUCAUAGAGAGCAAACCUGAAGGAAAUUUCGUAUGUGAUUCCAUUGACAGGACUCUGGCAGUCGUUGAAGACUCCCAAGGAAAGAUGGAGUCUUGGAGCUGUGGAAUUGGAGGAUGGAUGAGCCAGGGUGGAGGCUGGGGCUGCUCUGGUGUUGGUGGCACAGGGAGGAGGAAGGAAGAGUUUGCCGAGGAUAAAUUCAACACACUGGAACAGAGUGUUCCCCUUAAAUGUGUUCUACAGCCAGAAUAGCAGCAGCAAUCCUGCCAAGUAAGGGGCCUGCUGCAGGAACAGUUUGGCAAGGGAAAAUAUAUAGCCAAAUUUAAGCUAACCAGCCUGAUAGUGGGUGGCUGGAUUAUGUAAAUUUACUGAUACUCAGAAUUCAUUAUCUCUUGCGAAGUGUCUCUGAAUGAAAUGAAAUGGUAGAGCAGAUAACCCCUUUUUUAUUUGGAUUCCUUCCCUCUCUCCCCUCCCAAAAACUUGUAUUUCUACACCUCCAUUCAAAGUCUUGAAACUUGAGCAGUAAGGCUGUGGGGCUGAGCUUGUAAUGAAAUCCUCAUCAGGAUCCUGAGGGCAGGGCUAGAAAAUGAGGUAUUGCAGUGUCAGAAAUUCUUGGAUUUGUUGAAACUGAGUCCUGGAAGGGAUGAGCCAGAAAGAAUCCUAAGAAAAGGAGAAAAAAUACGAUAUCCUUUCACUUCAGCAUGCUCUCUGUAAGCAUAGUCAUUUCUGGGAGAAGCAUCAAGAUUUACAGUUAUUCUCAACACUGCCACGUGGGAUUUGUGAGCUCCCAUGAAUGGAAGAAUCAUCAUCAUGUAGAAAUCUGUGUGGUUUUGCCUUGGAUGGAGUGAUGGUAGUUCAACAGUUGUGCUUGACUGCUGCUACUGUUUUGCUGUGUACAAAUAAGAAUUGUCUUCUAAUUGGCUGGCUUGCAAACUGAGGAAAUCUGGCUAAUUUAUUUUCAUUGGGAGUAGAGUUGCCCUCACAAGGUUGGAUUUUAAUGUUAAUGAAGGUGUGUUUAAGAAUGGAUCUUGUCCCUCUUGCAGCUUUAUUCUAAGAACAAGGGAGGACCGAGUGUGGGUUAUAGAUGCCACAGAGAUGUCGGAGCUGAAAGAAAAAGGCUGUUGCUUGUAACACUCUCUUGUUUACUCAGCCACUAUGUUCUGGAGCCCAUGAGAGGUGAUAAACAAAGGGAGCCUGUGGAGAUGCUUUGUAUUCUGAUGCUUUUCAAAGUACCUUCUUGCUCUGAAGCAGACUGUUCCAGGAACUGUCUUAGCAAUGUGUGUAGUCUAGAUUGGAGCCAAAAGCUUGAGUCUUCAUGAAUCAAGCUCAUUAAUGGUAUCCAGCAU